UCCGUAGGUGAACCUGCGGAAGGAUCAUUACCGAGUUGAUUCGAGCUCCGGCUCGACUCUCCCACCCAAUGUGUACCUACCUCUGUUGCUUUGGCGGGCCGCGGUCCUCCGCACCGGCGCCCUUCGGGGGGCUGGCCAGCGCCCGCCAGAGGACCAUAAAACUCCAGUCAGUGAACUUCGCAGUCUGAAAAACAAGUUAAUAAACUAAAACUUUCAACAACGGAUCUCUUGGUUCUGGCAUCGAUGAAGAACGCAGCGAAAUGCGAUAAGUAAUGUGAAUUGCAGAAUUCAGUGAAUCAUCGAAUCUUUGAACGCACAUUGCGCCCCUUGGUAUUCCGAGGGGCAUGCCUGUUCGAGCGUCAUUUCAACCCUCAAGCUCUGCUUGGUAUUGGGCUCCGUCCUCCACGGACGCGCCUUAAAGACCUCGGCGGUGGCGUCUUGCCUCAAGCGUAGUAGAAAACACCUCGCUUUGGAGCGCACGGCGUCGCCCGCCGGACGAACCUUUGAAUUAUUUCUCAAGGUUGACCUCGGAUCAGGUAGGGAUACCCGCUGAACUUAAGCAUAUCAAUAAGCGGAGGA
This 579-nucleotide ribosomal RNA is filed under the name Neofusicoccum parvum. RNAcentral describes it as "eukaryotic LSU rRNA". The stretch from base 209 to 362 matches the Rfam family "5.8S ribosomal RNA". Lineage: Eukaryota; Fungi; Ascomycota; Dothideomycetes; Botryosphaeriales; Botryosphaeriaceae. The record is from RNAcentral.